Molecule: ribosomal RNA, 468 nt
Filed under: uncultured bacterium
Lineage: Bacteria
Description: partial 16S ribosomal RNA
Rfam family: Bacterial small subunit ribosomal RNA
Source: RNAcentral
GACGAACGCUGGCGGCGUGCUUAACACAUGCAAGUCGAACGGAAAGGCCCUGCUUUUGUGGGGUGCUCGAGUGGCGAACGGGUGAGUAACACGUGAGUAACCUGCCCUUGACUUUGGGAUAACUUCAGGAAACUGGGGCUAAUACCGAAUAGGACCUCUUGCUGCAUGUUGGGGGUGGGAAAGUUUCGGCGGUUGGGGAGGGACUCGCGGCUUAUCAGCUUUUUGGUGGGGUAGUGGCUUACCAAGGUUUUGACGGGUAGCCGGCCUGAGAGGGGGACCGGCCACAUUGGGACUGAGAUACGGCCCAGACUCCUACGGGAGGCAGCAGUGGGGAAUAUUGCACAAUGGGCGGAAGCCUGAUGCAGCAACGCCGCGUGCGGGAUGACGGCCUUCGGGUUGUAAACCGCUUUCGCCUGUGACGAAGCGUGAGUGACGGUAAUGGGUAAAGAAGCACCGGCUAACUACGUG